This is a long non-coding RNA of Petromyzon marinus (sea lamprey), 741 nucleotides long. RefSeq lists it as uncharacterized. Lineage: Eukaryota; Metazoa; Chordata; Hyperoartia; Petromyzontiformes; Petromyzontidae. The record is from RefSeq and is a predicted model, not a curated record.
CCCCACCCAUCCACCACCAGCCUUGCCUGCUCAGUCACCCACCACCCACCCUCGUGCGCUCUUACCGUCAGCCGCAGCCUCUCCCGUGCUCUCUCUCUCUCCCCAACUCUCCCCCUCCCCUCUCUCCCCAACUCUCCCCCUCCCCUCUCUCUCCCCCUCCCCUCUCUCCCCCGACCACCACCACCAACCCGUCCGCGUUCACGGACUCAUCGCACGCGCGUUGACGUCAGAAGGGGACCGACCACGGUGCCGAGGUGCCCACCGAUGUCUGCACGGCACGCUGAGCGCUCUUUCGCGAACGUACGUAGCCAACCGCGCCAAUCGGAGGUUGGCGCGUGGGUAAGGACAACAAACUAAACACACAGCGAAGAGCAAGCUCUCAAGAAAUGCGCUUUCAAUGUAGAUGCGUAGCCCCCGGUGGCUUCCUCGUAUCGGAAGAGCGUUCCAGACGGCCGCAGGAGCGAUAGCGGUGACCGCACUGCCUCCUGUUUGAUUGUCGAGCCAGAAGCCGCUGCCGCUGCUUCGAGAAUGAGCGGAGUUCACGCGAUGGUGGUUCCUGCUCUUGGGCGAGAUCAUCAGCGAGACGCUGACGUCAGUGUGUGGGCGGGCCUGACUCACGCGAGCCGCCGCGCAGCAUCCUAACUGCGCCCGAGUCAAGCGGUUCACGCGCGGCGGGGAGACAAAGGCGGUCGGGAGGAGGGAGGGCGGUGGUGGCGAGCGGGGGGGGGACGCAAGCAGCAC